GGGGGGAGCAAGCAUUGUUCGGAUUUACUGGGCGUAAAGGGCGCGUAGGCGGCCACCGCAAGUCAGUUGUGAAAUCUCUGGGCUUAACCCAGAAAGGUCAACUGAUACUGCGGGGCUAGAGUGCAGAAGGGGCAACUGGAAUUCUCGGUGUAGCGGUGAAAUGCGUAGAUAUCGAGAGGAACACCUGCGGCGAAGGCGGGUUGCUGGGCUGACACUGACGCUGAUGUGCGAAAGCUAGGGGAGCGAACGGGAUUAGAUACCCCGGUAGUCCUAGCCUUAAACGAUGAAUGCUUGGUGUCUGGGGUUUUAUAGUCCCCGGGUGCCGUCGCUAACGCUUUAAGCAUUCCGCCUGGGGAGUACGGUCGCAAG
This 369-nucleotide ribosomal RNA is filed under the name uncultured bacterium. RNAcentral's name for it is "bacterial SSU rRNA". It matches the Rfam family "Bacterial small subunit ribosomal RNA", at positions 527 to 892 of the family's 1533-position model. The record is from RNAcentral.